Molecule: ribosomal RNA, 497 nt
Filed under: uncultured bacterium
Lineage: Bacteria
Description: partial 16S ribosomal RNA
Rfam family: Bacterial small subunit ribosomal RNA
Source: RNAcentral
GAUGAACGCUGGCGGCGUGCCUAAUACAUGCAAGUCGAGCGAACGGACGAGAAGCUUGCUUCUCUGAUGUUAGCGGCGGACGGGUGAGUAACACGUGGAUAACCUUCCUAUAAGACUGGGAUAACUUCGGGAAACCGGAGCUAAUACCGGAUAAUAUUUUGAACCGCAUGGUUCAAAAGUGAAAGACGGUCUUGCUGAUACUUAUAGAUGGAUCCGCGCUGCAUUAGCUAGUUGGUAAGGUAACGCCUUACCAAGGCAACGAUGCAUAGACGACCUGAGAGACUGGUCGGCGACCUUGGAACGUGAACACGGCCCCGGGGACUGAGAGAGGCAGCAGUAGCGAACCGGAGGCAACAGGCGAGAACAUGACGGAGCGACGGCGCGUGUGAGAUGGAGGUCUUCGGAUCGUAAAGACGUGUUACUAGGUGUGAACAUAUGUGAAAAUAGAAGUGCACAAAUUGACGGUACCUAAACAGAAAGCCACGGCUAACUACGUG